GGGUUGUGAGGUUAAGCGACUAAGCGUACACGGUGGAUGCCCUGGCAGUCAGAGGCGAUGAAGGACGUGCUAAUCUGCGAUAAGCGUCGGUAAGGUGAUAUGAACCGUUAUAACCGGCGAUUUCCGAAUGGGGAAACCCAGUGUGUUUCGACACACUAUCAUUAACUGAAUCCAUAGGUUAAUGAGGCGAACCGGGGGAACUGAAACAUCUAAGUACCCCGAGGAAAAGAAAUCAACCGAGAUUCCCCCAGUAGCGGCGAGCGAACGGGGAGGAGCCCAGAGCCUGAAUCAGUGUGUGUGUUAGUGGAAGCGUCUGGAAAGGCGCGCGAUACAGGGUGACAGCCCCGUACACAAAAAUGCACAUACUGUGAGCUCGAUGAGUAGGGCGGGACACGUGGUAUCCUGUCUGAAUAUGGGGGGACCAUCCUCCAAGGCUAAAUACUCCUGACUGACCGAUAGUGAACCAGUACCGUGAGGGAAAGGCGAAAAGAACCCCGGCGAGGGGAGUGAAAAAGAACCUGAAACCGUGUACGUACAAGCAGUGGGAGCCUCUUUUAUGGGGUGACUGCGUACCUUUUGUAUAAUGGGUCAGCGACUUAUAUUCUGUAGCAAGGUUAACCGAAUAGGGGAGCCGAAGGGAAACCGAGUCUUAACUGGGCGUUAAGUUGCAGGGUAUAGACCCGAAACCCGGUGAUCUAGCCAUGGGCAGGUUGAAGGUUGGGUAACACUAACUGGAGGACCGAACCGACUAAUGUUGAAAAAUUAGCGGAUGACUUGUGGCUGGGGGUGAAAGGCCAAUCAAACCGGGAGAUAGCUGGUUCUCCCCGAAAGCUAUUUAGGUAGCGCCUCGUGAAUUCAUCUCCGGGGGUAGAGCACUGUUUCGGCAAGGGGGUCAUCCCGACUUACCAACCCGAUGCAAACUGCGAAUACCGGAGAAUGUUAUCACGGGAGACACACGGCGGGUGCUAACGUCCGUCGUGAAGAGGGAAACAACCCAGACCGCCAGCUAAGGUCCCAAAGUCAUGGUUAAGUGGGAAACGAUGUGGGAAGGCCCAGACAGCCAGGAUGUUGGCUUAGAAGCAGCCAUCAUUUAAAGAAAGCGUAAUAGCUCACUGGUCGAGUCGGCCUGCGCGGAAGAUGUAACGGGGCUAAACCAUGCACCGAAGCUGCGGCAGCGACACUAUGUGUUGUUGGGUAGGGGAGCGUUCUGUAAGCCUGUGAAGGUGUACUGUGAGGUAUGCUGGAGGUAUCAGAAGUGCGAAUGCUGACAUAAGUAACGAUAAAGCGGGUGAAAAGCCCGCUCGCCGGAAGACCAAGGGUUCCUGUCCAACGUUAAUCGGGGCAGGGUGAGUCGACCCCUAAGGCGAGGCCGAAAGGCGUAGUCGAUGGGAAACAGGUUAAUAUUCCUGUACUUGGUGUUACUGCGAAGGGGGGACGGAGAAGGCUAUGUUGGCCGGGCGACGGUUGUCCCGGUUUAAGCGUGUAGGCUGGUUUUCCAGGCAAAUCCGGAAAAUCAAGGCUGAGGCGUGAUGACGAGGCACUACGGUGCUGAAGCAACAAAUGCCCUGCUUCCAGGAAAAGCCUCUAAGCAUCAGGUAACAUCAAAUCGUACCCCAAACCGACACAGGUGGUCAGGUAGAGAAUACCAAGGCGCUUGAGAGAACUCGGGUGAAGGAACUAGGCAAAAUGGUGCCGUAACUUCGGGAGAAGGCACGCUGAUAUGUAGGUGAAGUCCCUCGCGGAUGGAGCUGAAAUCAGUCGAAGAUACCAGCUGGCUGCAACUGUUUAUUAAAAACACAGCACUGUGCAAACACGAAAGUGGACGUAUACGGUGUGACGCCUGCCCGGUGCCGGAAGGUUAAUUGAUGGGGUCAGCGCAAGCGAAGCUCUUGAUCGAAGCCCCGGUAAACGGCGGCCGUAACUAUAACGGUCCUAAGGUAGCGAAAUUCCUUGUCGGGUAAGUUCCGACCUGCACGAAUGGCGUAAUGAUGGCCAGGCUGUCUCCACCCGAGACUCAGUGAAAUUGAACUCGCUGUGAAGAUGCAGUGUACCCGCGGCAAGACGGAAAGACCCCGUGAACCUUUACUAUAGCUUGACACUGAACAUUGAGCCUUGAUGUGUAGGAUAGGUGGGAGGCUU
RNAcentral lists this ribosomal RNA (2139 nucleotides) under Escherichia coli. RNAcentral describes it as "partial 23S ribosomal RNA". It matches the Rfam family "Bacterial large subunit ribosomal RNA", at positions 1 to 2157 of the family's 2925-position model. Lineage: Bacteria; Pseudomonadati; Pseudomonadota; Gammaproteobacteria; Enterobacterales; Enterobacteriaceae. The record is from RNAcentral.